This 335-nucleotide unclassified non-coding RNA is filed under the name soil metagenome. RNAcentral's name for it is "partial contains 5.8S ribosomal RNA, internal transcribed spacer 2, and large subunit ribosomal RNA". The stretch from base 1 to 120 matches the Rfam family "5.8S ribosomal RNA", at positions 35 to 154 of the family's 154-position model. The record is from RNAcentral.
GAUGAAGAACGCAGCGAAAUGCGAUAAGUAAUGUGAAUUGCAGAAUUCAGUGAAUCAUCGAAUCUUUGAACGCACAUUGCGCCCGCCAGUAUUCUGGCGGGCAUGCCUGUUCGAGCGUCAUUUCAACCAUCAAGCCCCAGGCUUGUGUUGGGGACCUGCGGCUGCCGCAGGCCCUGAAAACCAGUGGCGGGCUCGCUGUCACACCGGGCGUAGUAGAUUUUAUCUCGCUCAGGGCGUGCUGCGGGUUUCGGCCGUUAAAAAGCCUUUUUACCCAAGGUUGACCUCGGAUCAGGUAGGAAGACCCGCUGAACUUAAGCAUAUCAAUAAGCGGAGGA